GACGAACGCUGGCGGCGUGCUUAACACAUGCAAGUCGAACGAGACGAUUGAAAGCUUGCUUUUGAAAGUCGAGUGGCAAACGGGUGAGUAACGCGUAGGCAACCUGCCUCUAGGAUGGGGACAACAGUCCGAAAGGACUGCUAAUACCGAAUGUUGUAGAUAUUCCGCAUGGAGUACCUAUUAAAGAUGGCCUCUACUUGUAAGCUAUCACCUAGAGAUGGGCCUGCGUCUGAUUAGCUGGUUGGUGGGGCAACGGCCUACCAAGGCGACGAUCAGUAGCCGGUCUGAGAGGAUGAACGGCCACAUUGGAACUGAGACACGGUCCAGACUCCUACGGGAGGCAGCAGUGGGGAAUCUUCCGCAAUGGGCGAAAGCCUGACGGAGCAACGCCGCGUGAGUGAAGAA
This 405-nucleotide ribosomal RNA is filed under the name uncultured bacterium. Its description in RNAcentral is "bacterial SSU rRNA". It matches the Rfam family "Bacterial small subunit ribosomal RNA", at positions 28 to 412 of the family's 1533-position model. The record is from RNAcentral.